UACAGAGGUCUCGAGCGUUAGGCGGAAUCACUGGGCUUAAAGCGUGUGUAGGCGGACUGGUAAGUACCUUAUGAAAUCCCACGGCUCAACCGUGGAACUGCUUGGUAUACUGCUUGUCUUGUGCAACCUAGGGGCGAGCGGAACAGAUGGUGGAGCGGUGAAAUGCGUAGAUAUAGGAAGGAACACCAGUGGCGAAGGCGACCACCUGGACUGAUACUGACACUGAGGUGCGAAAGCGUGGGGAGCAAACAGG
This 253-nucleotide ribosomal RNA is filed under the name uncultured bacterium. Its description in RNAcentral is "partial 16S ribosomal RNA". It matches the Rfam family "Bacterial small subunit ribosomal RNA", at positions 524 to 776 of the family's 1533-position model. The record is from RNAcentral.